GAUGAACGCUAGCGGCAGGCUUAAUACAUGCAAGUCGAGGGGCAUCAAGGUACACGAAAGUGUAUUGUUGGCGACCGGCGGACGGGUGAGUAAUAGGGUAGGUAACCUACCUCAUACUGAGGCAUAGCGUGGGAGAAAUUCCAGGUAAUUCCUCAUGAGGUUACUAUGACACAUGUGAUAUAAUCAAAGGUAUCGCAAGGUACUGGUAUGAGAUGGGGCUUACUGACCGAUUAGCUAGUUGGUGAGAUAAGAGCUCACCAAGGCGAAGAUGGUUAGGGGUUUUGAGGUAGAGAGAUCCCCCACAUUGGAACUGAGAUACGGUCCAGACUCCUACGGGAGGCAGCAGUAGGGAAUAUUGGGCAAUGGGCGGAAGCCUGACCCAGCCAUGCCGCGUGAAGGAAGACGGCCUUAUGGGUUGUAAACUUCUUUACUAUGCGACUAACUAGAUUUACGAGAUAAUUCUAUAGAAUGUAAGCAUAGACAAAAGCACCGG
This 493-nucleotide ribosomal RNA is filed under the name uncultured bacterium. RNAcentral describes it as "bacterial SSU rRNA". It matches the Rfam family "Bacterial small subunit ribosomal RNA", at positions 28 to 496 of the family's 1533-position model. The record is from RNAcentral.